GUAGGUGGCAAGCGUUGUCCGGAAUUAUUGGGCGUAAAGCGCGCGCAGGCGGUUCUUUAAGUCUGAUGUGAAAGCCCACGGCUCAACCGUGGAAGGUCAUUGGAAACUGGAGAACUUGAGUACAGAAGAGGAAAGCGGAAUUCCACGUGUAGCGGUGAAAUGCGUAGAGAUGUGGAGGAACACCAGUGGCGAAGGCGGCUUUCUGGUCUGUAACUGACGCUGAGGCGCGAAAGCGUGGGGAGCAAACAGGAUUAGAUACCCUGGUAGUCCACGCCGUAAACGAUGAGUGCUAAGUGUUAGGGGGGUUUUCCGCCCCCCUUAGUGCUGCAGCUAACGCAUUAAGCACUCCGCCUGGGAGUACGGCCGCAAGGCUG
This 374-nucleotide ribosomal RNA is filed under the name uncultured organism. Its description in RNAcentral is "partial 16S ribosomal RNA". It matches the Rfam family "Bacterial small subunit ribosomal RNA", at positions 527 to 896 of the family's 1533-position model. The record is from RNAcentral.